GACGAACGCUGGCGGCGUGCUUAACACAUGCAAGUCGAACGGAAAGGCCCUGCUUUUGUGGGGUGCUCGAGUGGCGAACGGGUGAGUAACACGUGAGUAACCUGCCCUUGACUUUGGGAUAACUUCAGGAAACUGGGGCUAUUACCGGAUAGGAGCUCCUGCUGCAUGGUGUGGGUUGGAAAGUUUCGGCGGUUGGGGAUAGACUAGCGGCUUAUCAGCUUGUUGGUGGGGUAGUGGCUUUCCAGGGGUUUGAAGGGUAGCCGGCCUUAGAGGGUGACCGGCCACAUUGGGACUGCGGGACGGACCAGUCUCCAACGUGAGGCAGCAGUCGGGAAUAUUGCACAACGGGCGGAAGUCUGAUGCAGCAACGCCGCGUUCGUGAUGCCGUCCUACGAGGUGUAAACCGCUUUCGCCUGUGACGAAGCGUUAUUGACGGUAAUGGGUAAAGAAGCACCGGCUAACUACGUG
RNAcentral lists this ribosomal RNA (468 nucleotides) under uncultured bacterium. RNAcentral describes it as "partial 16S ribosomal RNA". It matches the Rfam family "Bacterial small subunit ribosomal RNA", at positions 28 to 507 of the family's 1533-position model. The record is from RNAcentral.